GCCGUUCGCGGCUGGACUAUUUAUUACCCUUGUCUUUUGCGCACUUGUUGUUUCCUGGGCGGGUUCGCUCGCCACCAGGACCACAAUAUAAACCUUUUUUAUGCAGUUGCAAUCAGCGUCAGUAUAACAAAUGUAAAUCAUUUACAACUUUCAACAACGGAUCUCUUGGUUCUGGCAUCGAUGAAGAACGCAGCGAAAUGCGAUACGUAGUGUGAAUUGCAGAAUUCAGUGAAUCAUCGAAUCUUUGAACGCACAUUGCGCCCUUUGGUAUUCCAAAGGGCAUGCCUGUUCGAGCGUCAUUUGUACCCUCAAGCUUUGCUUGGUGUUGGGCGUUUUUGUCUUUGGCCCGCCAAAGACUCGCCUUAAAAUGAUUGGCAGCCGGCCUACUGGUUUCGCAGCGCAGCACAUUUUUGCGCUUGCAAUCAGCAAAAGAGGACGGCAAUCCAUCAAGACUCCUUCUCACGUUUGACCUCGGAUCAGGUAGGGAUACCCGCUGAACUUAAGCAUAUCAAUAAGCGGAGGAA
This 524-nucleotide ribosomal RNA is filed under the name Bipolaris tetramera. RNAcentral describes it as "eukaryotic LSU rRNA". The stretch from base 146 to 299 matches the Rfam family "5.8S ribosomal RNA". Lineage: Eukaryota; Fungi; Ascomycota; Dothideomycetes; Pleosporales; Pleosporaceae. The record is from RNAcentral.